Mastomys coucha (southern multimammate mouse) is the source of this 266-nucleotide long non-coding RNA. RefSeq lists it as uncharacterized. NCBI's taxonomy places the organism in Eukaryota, Metazoa, Chordata, Mammalia, Rodentia, Muridae. The transcript is spliced from 2 exons. The record is from RefSeq and is a predicted model, not a curated record.
AGUCUGGGGCCCCCUCCCCUUGCAAUGGUGCCUUCCACAUCUAGGAUGCUGCCUCCUACCACAGUCACGGAUAUGCCCAGAGAUUUGUCUUCUAGAGACCAGGGCUAUGAGCUUCAGUUGGCUGCCACAGCGAUCACUCACUCCUUCAUCAGUUCAAGCAUCUGGACUGUGACACUCCAUAGAACUGGUAAACCCUGGCCAGCAGAGGCAGAGCCAACUAUGGAGCAUGUGGCUACUAGAUGAACAUUAACAGGCUCUUACGAAAA